AGAGUUUGAUCCUGGCUCAGGACGAACGCUGGCGGCGUGCUUAACACAUGCAAGUCGAGCGAGGCCCUCCUUCGGGGGGGUGCCCUAGCGGCGAACGGGUGAGUAACACGUGGGCAACCUGCCCUCAGCUCUGGGAUAACUCCAAGAAAUUGGUGCUAAUACCGGAUGUGACCGCUGACCGCAUGGUCUGGUGGUGGAAAGAUUCAUCGGCUGAGGAUGGGCCCGCGGCCUAUCAGCUUGUUGGUGGGGUGAUGGCCUACCAAGGCGACGACGGGUAGCCGGCCUGAGAGGGUGACCGGCCACACUGGGACUGAGACACGGCCCAGACUCCUACGGGAGGCAGCAGUGGGGAAUAUUGCGCAAUGGGCGAAAGCCUGACGCAGCGACGCCGCGUGAGGGAUGACGGCCUUCGGGUUGUAAACCUCUUUCAGUAGGGACGAAGCGCAAGUGACGGUACCUACAGAAGAAGCACCGGCCAACUACGUGCCAGCAGCCGCGGUAAUACGUAGGGUGCAAGCGUUGUCCGGAAUUAUUGGGCGUAAAGAGCUCGUAGGCGGUCUGUUGCGUCGGCUGUGAAAACCCGAGGCUCAACCUCGGGCCUGCAGUCGAUACGGGCAAACUAGAGUACUGCAGGGGAGACUGGAAUUCCUGGUGUAGCGGUGAAAUGCGCGAUAUCAGGAGGAACACCGGUGGCGAAGGCGGGUCUCUGGGCAGUAACUGACGCUGAGGAGCGAAAGCGUGGGGAGCGAACAGGAUUAGAUACCCUAGUAGUCC
Molecule: ribosomal RNA, 774 nt
Filed under: uncultured bacterium
Lineage: Bacteria
Description: bacterial SSU rRNA
Rfam family: Bacterial small subunit ribosomal RNA
Source: RNAcentral